CAGCUCCAGACUUGAGCUUGCCACUGUC
Molecule: non-coding RNA, 28 nt
Filed under: Homo sapiens (human)
Lineage: Eukaryota; Metazoa; Chordata; Mammalia; Primates; Hominidae
Source: RNAcentral